UUCCAGCCAAUCAGCAGCAGACCCUCCCUCUCAGACCCUCCCACCUCCUGGACAGCAUCCAUUUUGAAGCUUCAUUCUUAGUGAGCUGUCCAGGAGGUGGGAGGGUCUGGGAGGGAGGGUCUGCUGCUGAUUGCCUGG
Non-coding RNA from Pelobates cultripes (western spadefoot toad), 138 nucleotides. The record is from the annotation of a GenBank genome assembly. NCBI's taxonomy places the organism in Eukaryota, Metazoa, Chordata, Amphibia, Anura, Pelobatidae.